This 574-nucleotide ribosomal RNA is filed under the name uncultured bacterium. Its description in RNAcentral is "partial 16S ribosomal RNA". It matches the Rfam family "Bacterial small subunit ribosomal RNA", at positions 355 to 923 of the family's 1533-position model. The record is from RNAcentral.
UGGGGAAUUUUGGACAAUGGGCGAAAGCCUGAUCCAGCAAUGCCGCGUGUGUGAAGAAGGCCUUCGGGUUGUAAAGCACUUUUGUCCGGAAAGAAAUCCUUGGCUCUAAUACAGUCGGGGGAUGACGGUACCGGAAGAAUAAGCACCGGCUAACUACGUGCCAGCAGCCGCGGUAAUACGUAGGGUGCAAGCGUUAAUCGGAAUUACUGGGCGUAAAGCGUGCGCAGGCGGUUUGCUAAGACCGAUGUGAAAUCCCCGGGCUCAACCUGGGAACUGCAUUGGUGACUGGCAGGCUAGAGUAUGGCAGAGGGGGUAGAAUCCACGUGUAGCAGUGAAAUGCGUAGAGAUGUGGAGGAAUACCGAUGGCGAAGGCAGCCCCCUGGGCCAAUACUGACGCUCAUGCACGAAAGCGUGGGGAGCAAACAGGAUUAGAUACCCUGGUAGUCCACGCCCUAAAACGAUGUCAACUAGUUGUUGGGGAUUCAUUUCCUUAGUAACGUAGCUAACGCGUGAAGUUGACCGCCUGGGGAGUACGGUCGCAAGAUUAAAACUCAAAUGAAUUGACGGGGUCAUA